This 68-nucleotide transfer RNA is filed under the name Oxylipeurus chiniri. RNAcentral describes it as "tRNA-Asp". The record is from RNAcentral. Lineage: Eukaryota; Metazoa; Arthropoda; Insecta; Psocodea; Philopteridae.
UUGAAAGUAGGUUAUACUCUUAAACCUUCCAAUUGUCAAUUGGAGAAAUCUUUUUAAAGACUUUUAAA